AGGAACCAGUUCCUAGGAGCUAGGAACUAGUUUUUCAGAAACUAGACCGUAUGCGAGCCGUUGGUUCGCUUCCAAUCGCUUCUU
This 84-nucleotide transfer RNA is filed under the name Spirochaetia bacterium. RNAcentral's name for it is "tRNA-Sec". Lineage: Bacteria; Pseudomonadati; Spirochaetota; Spirochaetia. The record is from RNAcentral.